GGCUGGUUGUUUCCUCUUCGCCUCCCGAGUAAUCCCUGUCGCCACUAUUGGUAUUGGUGAGACCAUUUUCGGAUAGCAGGGGCCUAGAGAUUUCGAGUCUCGGAGUGGUCUCGUAGGCGCUAAGAGGAUUAUGGCCGUCUUCAGUGAAAUUUUGAUUCAGGGUUUUGUCUGGAUUUUGGGGAUCGGAGAAUUCAGGUUCUGGUGGCGGAGGAGGAGGAUUUUCAUAGUGAAAAUCUAGGGUUUCAGGCGGCGGCUGAGAAGGAUCUAAAGAUUGGAAUUGGGUUGGGUGGAGGGAGUCCAUAGAGUCCAUUGAAUGGGGGGG
RNAcentral lists this unclassified non-coding RNA (322 nucleotides) under Hevea brasiliensis (rubber tree). Lineage: Eukaryota; Viridiplantae; Streptophyta; Magnoliopsida; Malpighiales; Euphorbiaceae. The record is from RNAcentral.